UGCAAUAGCAAAGUAUGCCAGUAUCGGGUAAUGGCCAAUAUAUGAUGCAUAGCUAUCACGCUGGAUGUUCACCGCCCACUCAAAUCUAUUUAAAUCGGCGUGACCAGUCCCAACAUACUUAGCUUGGAGAUGCUCAAGCUGGGAAUUAAUGUUAAACCUAUCACUGGCCUGCAUGUUUGCAGAUGGAGAUGACAGCUGAGAGGGUAACCGAAAUAGCAAAAGGAACAACCCAAGAGAAAAGCUUCUCUGAGAGUAAUUACACGAUUACAGUUCUAGUGUUCUAC
This 284-nucleotide unclassified non-coding RNA is filed under the name Hevea brasiliensis (rubber tree). Lineage: Eukaryota; Viridiplantae; Streptophyta; Magnoliopsida; Malpighiales; Euphorbiaceae. The record is from RNAcentral.